RNAcentral lists this long non-coding RNA (810 nucleotides) under Homo sapiens (human). Its description in RNAcentral is "lncAB606.1". Lineage: Eukaryota; Metazoa; Chordata; Mammalia; Primates; Hominidae. The record is from RNAcentral.
GUCGCGGUGGGGCGAGAGCUGGGCCUGGAGACUCCCCUGGGAGGCAACAGCGGGGUCUGCAGACGCCCUUCUCCAGCCGGAGCUGGGACUGUUCAGUGACUGGGAGAAGGGAUGUGGGUCUGAAGAGCUUGGUUGCAGAAACUUCGGGGUCUACAAACGCAGGCGGGAGCUGAGCCAAAAGAGCUUGUUUGCUGGGAGGUGGGAGAUGCAGCCAGGAGGAACAGCUGGGCAAUGCGGGAGGCAGAGGCCAGGCCUCCUCAAGUUGGCCUCUCAGACCCACUUGCAGCCUCCCGGCGCCCCCUCCGGGCCCAGCUCUUCCUCCCGGCUGCAUCUCCAGGCCGGACUCUGGCCCGACUCCAGGUCCCAACAACGUCUUUGGACUCAGCUCCUGCCCAGCUCCCAGCGGCCCUGGUAGGCCCACAACUUCCCUAAGCCAAGCUCCCCAGGCCCAGCUCAGGCCUCGUGGUGGCCUCUCCAGGCUCAGCUCCUGGCCCUCCGAUGACAUCUGCAGGCCCCAAAUGGCCUCCGGUCGGUGGGCUCCUCUAGGCCCAGCUUGGGCCUCCCGGCGGCCUUCGCAGGCCCAAAUCAUCCCGAAGUCAGUCUCUCCAGGCUUAGCUCCAGCCUCCCGGCGGCCUCUGCAGGCCCAAGUCGUCCUCAAGUCGGCCUGGAAGUGGGCCUGGAAGAGCAGCAAGUCGGCCUCCCUGGGCCCAGCUCUGUCCUCUCGACGGCCUCUCCAGGUGCAAAACUUCCUCGAGUCAGCCUCUCCAGGCCCAGCUCCUCCUGCCUCCCAGUGGCCUCUUUCGGCCCAGC